This 1547-nucleotide ribosomal RNA is filed under the name Salmonella enterica. RNAcentral describes it as "partial 23S ribosomal RNA". It matches the Rfam family "Bacterial large subunit ribosomal RNA", at positions 1272 to 2802 of the family's 2925-position model. The record is from RNAcentral. Lineage: Bacteria; Pseudomonadati; Pseudomonadota; Gammaproteobacteria; Enterobacterales; Enterobacteriaceae.
GCUGGAGGUAUCAGAAGUGCGAAUGCUGACAUAAGUAACGAUAAAGCGGGUGAAAAGCCCGCUCGCCGGAAGACCAAGGGUUCCUGUCCAACGUUAAUCGGGGCAGGGUGAGUCGACCCCUAAGGCGAGGCCGAAAGGCGUAGUCGAUGGGAAACGGGUUAAUAUUCCCGUACUUGGUGUUACUGCGAAGGGGGGACGGAGAAGGCUAUGUUGGCCGGGCGACGGUUGUCCCGGUUUAAGCGUGUAGGUGUGUGUUCCAGGUAAAUCCGGUUCACUUUAACACUGAGGCGUGACGACGAGGCACUACGGUGCUGAAGCAACAAAUGCCCUGCUUCCAGGAAAAGCCUCUAAGCAUCAGGUAACAUCAAAUCGUACCCCAAACCGACACAGGUGGUCAGGUAGAGAAUACCAAGGCGCUUGAGAGAACUCGGGUGAAGGAACUAGGCAAAAUGGUGCCGUAACUUCGGGAGAAGGCACGCUGACACGUAGGUGAAGUGAUUUACUCAUGGAGCUGAAGUCAGUCGAAGAUACCAGCUGGCUGCAACUGUUUAUUAAAAACACAGCACUGUGCAAACACGAAAGUGGACGUAUACGGUGUGACGCCUGCCCGGUGCCGGAAGGUUAAUUGAUGGGGUCAGCGCAAGCGAAGCUCCUGAUCGAAGCCCCGGUAAACGGCGGCCGUAACUAUAACGGUCCUAAGGUAGCGAAAUUCCUUGUCGGGUAAGUUCCGACCUGCACGAAUGGCGUAAUGAUGGCCAGGCUGUCUCCACCCGAGACUCAGUGAAAUUGAACUCGCUGUGAAGAUGCAGUGUACCCGCGGCAAGACGGAAAGACCCCGUGAACCUUUACUAUAGCUUGACACUGAACAUUGAGCCUUGAUGUGUAGGAUAGGUGGGAGGCUUUGAAGUGUGGACGCCAGUCUGCAUGGAGCCGACCUUGAAAUACCACCCUUUAAUGUUUGAUGUUCUAACGUGGACCCGUAAUCCGGGUUGCGGACAGUGUCUGGUGGGUAGUUUGACUGGGGCGGUCUCCUCCUAAAGAGUAACGGAGGAGCACGAAGGUUGGCUAAUCCUGGUCGGACAUCAGGAGGUUAGUGCAAUGGCAUAAGCCAGCUUGACUGCGAGCGUGACGGCGCGAGCAGGUGCGAAAGCAGGUCAUAGUGAUCCGGUGGUUCUGAAUGGAAGGGCCAUCGCUCAACGGAUAAAAGGUACUCCGGGGAUAACAGGCUGAUACCGCCCAAGAGUUCAUAUCGACGGCGGUGUUUGGCACCUCGAUGUCGGCUCAUCACAUCCUGGGGCUGAAGUAGGUCCCAAGGGUAUGGCUGUUCGCCAUUUAAAGUGGUACGCGAGCUGGGUUUAGAACGUCGUGAGACAGUUCGGUCCCUAUCUGCCGUGGGCGCUGGAGAACUGAGGGGGGCUGCUCCUAGUACGAGAGGACCGGAGUGGACGCAUCACUGGUGUUCGGGUUGUCAUGCCAAUGGCACUGCCCGGUAGCUAAAUGCGGAAGAGAUAAGUGCUGAAAGCAUCUAAGCACGAAACUUGCCCCGA